AACGCGACCCGCGGCGGCCGCGCGGGGACUGCUGGGAAGCGGUGGCGCCGCGGUGGGCUUGAAGAAAGACAUGAGCUGAGGAACGCAGCCUUCUGUCCGUACCGGCACUGCAGGAGAAGGGCUGGCAGAAGGGGCACCCGCACAGGCUCAGAUUGCACACAGAAGUGUGCACACAGUGCUCCCAGAAGCAUCAGUUGGGACAGAAAGAGUGGCUCCAGCCCCCCUCCCCCCCCCCAACUCCAGGCAGUCACGUGCUCAUGUUCAGGAGUUCCACUACAGGGGGCUACAGGUGUCUGUAAGUAAUCCUAGGAGCUGUAGAGCUUCUAUAGACAGUCCCAGGAGCUUUGGGUAGGCUGUGAAAUGCUGCAGAGGUCCUGGGGUCUGUGGGUUGCUGUAGGUGCUCAUGGGAUCUCUGGGGUGCUGUGGGGUGCUCGAAGGGUCUUGGGAGGGCGGCUGCGAGCGUCCUAUAAGCAGUUGUGGGAGCUAUAGAGGGAGUCUGUAGGGGUGCUAUGAGAGUCCUGGGAUUUAUGUGGGGGGUCAGUAAGGCCACAGGCAGAGGAAUGGGGCCACAGGGGGUGACUGGGACACCAGGGGGUGACAGUGAUGUAGGGCUGCCCUACCCCCCACCAUGUUUUCUCAGGCAGAGCCACACGUGCUGGGCCUGCCCACAUGCCUGGCGCUGCUCCGUGUCCAUAGAGGAGGAGCACGCUGCCAUUCUGCGCCCCUGUGGUGCCCCCCCUGUGGGACCGACCCCCGUGUAUGACAGAACCGCCCCUGUGCUGUGCACCUGCAACGCACCCUGAGGAAUGACUACCCCUCCUCAAAAAUGACCACAGGAGCUGGGGGGCUUCCUGCAGCCCCAUUAAAGCCCCCAUGGUGGCAGGCAAGAAAAGGAACCUAGGUUUCUCACUGCUUUUCAAUGGAAAACAAUUUCCUCUAUGCAUUCCUUGAAGUCCGUUACAGAGUUUCAUACGAUUUGCUCCCCUCUGUUAGAAUCAGUGUUUCUGAAAUACUUUGCAGCCUUACCAACCUCGAGUUCUGGGUCAGUGAAGUCUGAGGUCUGCUUAGAAAUACUCUGAACCCAGAAUGGCGUUUCCUUCCCACAAGUCUUCCAAAAGAGUAACUUUUCCUACCACGUUAGCAUUAAUUUUAGACUGUCGUGGCAAGAGUUCAGAGAAGGAGCAAAUCAAGUGUGUCUAAUCGAAAACUAGAAGGGGUGAAAGGGAGGGGGCUGGGGGGAUGAGGAUUGGAAUGUGAAGCACAACCCCAGCUUGGCCCUGUACUGGCAUGCCUGAGGAGCCCCUCGGCCCUGUUUCUCAGCUGAAGCCCAGUCCUCUUUCCAACCUUAGAAACAAACUGAAUGAAAUAGGAGGCUUUGCCCCAGAAGGACCAGGUAAAGGCAGUGACACAGGUUUAAGUUUGGCUGUAUGGAGAUCUAAAGAACUCAAAAUAAAUGCAAAAGUUUAAAAAUAAAGAGUCUGAUUUUAAAAUGUACCCAUUGCGAGAGAGCUUUGACACCUCUGCCAUCUUUUUUACUGCCUUCUAUCACAGAAUGCACGCAGGGCAUUUUCAAUUACUUUAAUUGAAGGUUAUUGUGCACCAAGCCCUGCCAGCCAUUCCACAACAGUAUCUGUAAUCGCCAGCAGUUUCUUAUCUGUGUUCCAAGUAAGACUAUUUUCAGGUAUUUUACUGGAUAAAAAGGGAAUAAAAUUGUGCAUUUAGAUUGAAUAAAAGGUGGUAAGAAGCUCAGUUUUCUCACUCCUCGUAAUAACAUAAUCAUCACACCAGCAUUAUUUACCUUUGUAAAACUUCAAAACUCUUUCUGGUGUAACGCUGGGACUCAAGUCCCUGUGCUUUCUUUCAUACCUUUAACUAGAGAUCUUGAAUCCCAAGAAUUUAGGCACCAAGGAGAACAACAGUAACACCAUCUCUCACACAGGUCCAGUCUGUCCUCAGCAGCAAAGGAGACUCGCUAGGGACAGACUAUAUGAACUUCCCUCGCCCCCUUUCCUCUGCUAAGCCUUGGGGUGAGUGGAAACCCCAAAAUGCCCAGAAACGAGGCUAUCUCUGUAAGUCAGCACAGGUCCCUUCAAGUCACCUUUUUGACACUGGAAGUCACAUAUAUGGCCACCAGAGGGCGAAAUACCUCUCUCAGAAUUCUGGGUGCUACUGUAAAGACAUCCAGUGUCCUAUCCGCAUCUGCAUGCUCUGAAGUUAUUAACAAAAUGACUUCUGUAAGUAAGUGCAGAGAUUAAACGGGAGCCCCAGCCUGGAAGUGAUCCUGCCCACACUCCUUUCACACUCGUAUGUAGGAAGAAGUUGACAGAACAGAGCGACCAAACUGAAGGAACCACGCAUCUUCCAUACAGGGAUCAGCUAACCUCUGCAAGCUACCAAGAGGAAUCCAGGGUGCACCGACUGAAUCCAAACUGCAUCUCCUGAGCUAGCAGGGGGAUGGCAGGUGAUACGUGCUCUGCACUUCUGCCUGAAGAGCUCAGCCAGGAGGUGGCAGCGCCUCUUGUACAGCACGCGGCCUGCAGGAAAAGAAGAGAUGGAGUUCUGGCAGCAGUUGAUAAUACAACGUUGUCAUAGGUCAUUUUUAAUAAUUGAAAGAACAAUAAAAACUAUGUGUUUUAAUUCAGGAUUAACUUUAAGCCUGUUGUUUAUACAGAGGACAGUCAGCGUACGACCAUCUUCUAUUUGCUGUAUUAGAGAAGUCUCCAUCCAGCAAGAGGUCUCAUGGUUCCUACUGUACAAUGGCAGGGGCAGAGUCCAUUUCAGACUCUAUCAAUACCUCAAAUUACGUCCACAUCCCCAGGAGUCCAGGCUCCUUCCAGGAUCUGGCAAAAUGGC
Long non-coding RNA from Gallus gallus (chicken), 2853 nucleotides. Lineage: Eukaryota; Metazoa; Chordata; Aves; Galliformes; Phasianidae. The record is from Ensembl.